AGCAGCCGCGGUAAUUCCAGCUCCAAUAGCGUAUAUUAAAGUUGUUGCAGUUAAAAAGCUCGCAGUUGAAUUUCGGGAUUGACACAUCGGUCGUGCCUUAAGGGGUAUGAACUGGUGUAGUCAAUUUCUCACCUUCUGGAGAACCGCGAUGCCCUUAAUUGGGUGUCGCGGGGAACCAGGACCUUUACUUUGAAAAAUUAGAGUGUUUAAAGCAGGCAUUUUGCUUGAAUACAUUAGCAUGGAAUAAUAAAAUAGGACGGCAUGAUUCUACUUUGUUGGUUUCUAGGAUCACCGUAAUGAUUAAUAGGGAUAGUUGGGGGCAUUAGUAUUCAAUUGUCAGAGGUGAAAUUCUUGGAUUUAUUGAAGACUAACUACUGCGAAAGCAUUUGCCAAGGAUGUUUUCAUUAAUCAAGAACGAAAGUUAGGGGAUCGAAGACGAUCAGAUACCGUCGUAGUCUUAACCAUAAACUAUGCCGACUAGGAAUCAGACGAUGUUAAUUUUUAAUGUACUCG
Molecule: ribosomal RNA, 513 nt
Filed under: uncultured Entrophosporaceae
Lineage: Eukaryota; Fungi; Glomeromycota; Glomeromycetes; Entrophosporales; Entrophosporaceae
Description: SSU rRNA
Rfam family: Eukaryotic small subunit ribosomal RNA
Source: RNAcentral